This 435-nucleotide ribosomal RNA is filed under the name uncultured thermophilic aerobic biofilm eubacterium SCBP-S19. RNAcentral describes it as "bacterial SSU rRNA". It matches the Rfam family "Bacterial small subunit ribosomal RNA", at positions 42 to 523 of the family's 1533-position model. The record is from RNAcentral.
GCAUGCCUAACACAUGCAAGUUGAACGAUCCCUUCGGGGAUCGUGGCGCACGGGUGCGUAACGUGUGGGAACCUUCCCUUAGGUUCGGAAUAACUCAGGGAAACUUGAGCUAAUACCSGAUAAUGUCUUCGGACCAAAGAUUUAUCGCCUUUGGAUGGGCCCCCGUAGGAUUAGCUAGUUGGUGGGGUAAAGGCCUACCAAGGCGACGAUCCUUAGCUGGUCUKAGAGGAUGAUCAGCCACACUGGGACUGAGACACGGCCCAGACUCCUACGGGAGGCAGCAGUGGGGAAUAUUGGACAAUGGGCGAAAGCCUGAUCCAGCAAUGCCGCGUGAGUGAUGAAGGCCUUAGGGUUGUAAAGCUCUUUUNCCCGGGAUGAUAAUGACAGUACCGGGAGAAUAAGCCCCCGCUAACUCCGUGCCAGCAGCCGCGGUAA